Molecule: ribosomal RNA, 504 nt
Filed under: Porphyromonadaceae bacterium
Lineage: Bacteria; Pseudomonadati; Bacteroidota; Bacteroidia; Bacteroidales; Porphyromonadaceae
Description: partial 23S ribosomal RNA
Rfam family: Bacterial large subunit ribosomal RNA
Source: RNAcentral
CGGCGGCCGUAACUAUAACGGUCCUAAGGUAGCGAAAUUCCUUGUCGGGUAAGUUCCGACCUGCACGAAUGGUGUAACGAUCUGGGUACUGUCUCAACCGCGAGCUCGGUGAAAUUGUAGUAUCGGUGAAGAUGCCGAUUACCCGCAACGGGACGAAAAGACCCCGUGAACCUUUACUAUAGCUUUGCAUUGGAUUUGGGUAACAAAUGUGUAGGAUAGGCCGGAGACUGAGAAGCGGGUACGCCAGUAUUCGUGGAGUCGCCGUUGAAAUACGGCCCUUUUGUUAUUUGGGUUCUAACUCGCGGGAGCGAGGACAUUGCAUGGUGGGUAGUUUGACUGGGGUGGUCGCCUCCAAAAGUGUAACGGAGGCUUCUAAAGGUACCCUCAGACCGAUUGGUAACCGGUCGUAGAGUGUAAUGGCACAAGGGUGCUUGACUGGGAGACUAACAAGUCGCACAGGUAGGAAACUAGAGCAUAGUGAUCCGGUGGUUCCGUAUGGAAGGG